RNAcentral lists this ribosomal RNA (710 nucleotides) under Bacillus sp. MEP_004. RNAcentral's name for it is "bacterial SSU rRNA". It matches the Rfam family "Bacterial small subunit ribosomal RNA", at positions 571 to 1282 of the family's 1533-position model. Lineage: Bacteria; Bacillati; Bacillota; Bacilli; Caryophanales; Bacillaceae. The record is from RNAcentral.
GCAGGUGGUUUCUUAAGUCUGAUGUGAAAGCCCACGGCUCAACCGUGGAGGGUCAUUGGAAACUGGCAGACUUGAGUGCAGAAGAGGAAAGUGGAAUUCCAUGUGUAGCGGUGAAAUGCGUAGAGAUAUGGAGGAACACCAGUGGCGAAGGCGACUUUCUGGUCUGUAACUGACACUGAGGCGCGAAAGCGUGGGGAGCAAACAGGAUUAGAUACCCUGGUAGUCCACGCCGUAAACGAUGAGUGUUAAGUGUUAGAGGGUUUCCGCCCUUUAGUGCGGAAGUUAACGCAUUAAGCACUCCCCCUGGGGAGUACGGCCGCAAGGUUGAAAUUCAAAGGAAUUGACGGGGGCCCGCCCAAGCGGUGGAGCAUGUGGUUUAAUUGGAAGCAACGGGAAGACCCUUACCAGGUCUUGACAUCCUCUGAAAACCCUAGAGAUAGGGCUUCUCUUUCGGGAGCAGAGUGACAGGUGGUGCAUGGUUGUCGUCAGCUCGUGUCGUGAGAUGUUGGGUUAAGUCCCGCAACGAGCGCAACCCUUGAUUUUAGUUGCCAUCGUUAAGUUGGGCACUCUAAGGUGACUGCCGGUGAUAAACUGGAGGAAGGUGGGGAUGACGUCAAGUCAUCAUGCCCCUUAUGACCUGGGCUACACACGUGCUACAAUGGACGGUACAAAGAGCUGCAAGACCGCGAGGCGAGCUAAUCUCAUAAAAC